GACGAACGCUGGCGGCGUGCCUAAUACAUGCAAGUAGAACGCUGAAGGAGGAGCUUGCUUCUCCGGAUGAGUUGCGAACGGGUGAGUAACGCGUAGGUAACCUGCCUGGUAGCGGGGGAUAACUAUUGGAAACGAUAGCUAAUACCGCAUAACAGUAGAUGUUGCAUGACAUUUGCUUAAAAGGUGCAAUUGCAUCACUACCAGAUGGACCUGCGUUGUAUUAGCUAGUUGGUGAGGUAACGGCUCACCAAGGCGACGAUACAUAGCCGACCUGAGAGGGGGAGCGGCCACACUGGGACUGAGACGCGGCCCAGACGCCUACGGGAGGCAGCAGUAGGGAAUCUGCGGCAAUGGACGGAAGUCUGACCGAGCAACGCCGAGUGAGUGAAGAAGGUUUUCGGAUCGUAAAGCUCUGUUGUAAGAGAAGAACGAGUGUGAGAGUGGAAAGUUCACACUGUGACGGUAUCUUACCAGAAAGGGACGGCUAACUACGUG
This 495-nucleotide ribosomal RNA is filed under the name uncultured bacterium. RNAcentral describes it as "partial 16S ribosomal RNA". It matches the Rfam family "Bacterial small subunit ribosomal RNA", at positions 28 to 507 of the family's 1533-position model. The record is from RNAcentral.